This 169-nucleotide long non-coding RNA is filed under the name Monodelphis domestica (gray short-tailed opossum). Its description in RNAcentral is "lncRNA (ENSMODG00000046658.1)". Lineage: Eukaryota; Metazoa; Chordata; Mammalia; Didelphimorphia; Didelphidae. The record is from RNAcentral.
CACCUCAAAGCCUUUCAAACACUCACCAACCACGACAAUUCGUGAUGGUAUGUGCUUGAACAUCGGUCAAGACCUGCGUGGUGUUUAAUGGAUGUUCCCCUGAUUAUUGAUUAUAGAGCGAUGCAUCAAAAGUAAGUCCCAGAAUUAACUCUACAGCUUGUUAAUAAAU